Macaca mulatta (Rhesus monkey) is the source of this 2236-nucleotide non-coding RNA. The record is from RefSeq and is a predicted model, not a curated record. NCBI's taxonomy places the organism in Eukaryota, Metazoa, Chordata, Mammalia, Primates, Cercopithecidae.
GACAUCCACUUCUUCCAGGGGGAAAGUAGGCGGAUGGGGGCAGAAAAACCAAACUCCCUCCAAGACAGUGCUUUGCAUAAGCAUUUUGCGACCCCCUCCCUUCAGCCCCGAACCUCCCCGUGGCACAAGGAAAAGGACUGUGGUUAAUUGCAGAUGCUGUCAGGAAGCCAGGUGCGUCCCCACUCCCCAGCCCUAAAAUCCAAAGAAAGAAGAGAUUGUUUGAGACGAUCUGAAGAAAGGUCAGGUCCUAACAGAUCAACGGGACCUUCUUUUUCACCUUCCUCGCCUUGGGUUCUGGAGCACGGGCGCUGGAUCAGCUGAAUGCGGCCUGGGCAUCUGGAAGUGGGCUUGAGGGACACCUCGCGGUGCAGCCCCCGGGACGACCUAGGACACUCUGGACACCCAGGCCGAGAGCCAGGACCCGCCCGCGCCUCCUCACUGCUGCUCGAGGGUAGGGAGGAGCGUGCGGACCCCGUGGGGGCUGAAGCGGGGCUCUGCUCCCCGCCCUGCGCAAGCCCCCGGCUCUGGUUGCUGGUCCACAAAAUCCGGAGGCUGAAUUAGACGGUCGGGUGGCCCCCAGCCUUAUAGCUUCGAUUUCUGUGGUCCUAUUUUAGACCCAGACUUGUUCCCGAAGGGAAGUGAAGAGCCGCGGAAGGCUUGGAGCGUGAACCAGAAAACAAUGGGUGGGGACGGUCUAACCAGCUCCCUUCCCUAGAAGGGCGGAAACGGCUUUCGAAGCACCCGCGUUUCUCUUUAUUGAAUCUUGAGUGACACCUAGUGGCCCAUCCGCCUCACCGUCACGGCGAUGCUGGUUUCACUGGACUUUUCAGAAGGUGUAACUUGCCUGCCCAUGGUUCUCUGCUAAAAGAAUUUGGAGCCUAGGGUGCCGAUGACGUUUCCUGGGACCUCCCGGAAGCACUUGCUGUCCCCUGUCAACAGCCCUGCACCUGCGAUGCAUGCAAUUCUAAUGAAAAUGCCCUUCGCGUCUGCAGAGCUUGCUUGAGCACAUCCUGAGCUCUCAGGCAGCAAAUAUAGAGUCGGGUGCUAUUCCGGGAGCUGGGCACGCAAAGAUGACCAAGGCUUGGUUUCUGAUCUCAAGAAUCUCACAGCCCAGCUGGGGGAAAAUGGACCAAUAAAAGAGUGUGCAUUGGACGCUAUGGGGCACAGGGGGUGGACCUAGCUCGGCCUAGAGUCAUUAAGAAAGACAAUCACCCUUGAGCUGAGUUUUGAAGAUUAGGCAGAAUUCUAAGAUGACCCCUGAAGAUUCUCAGCCCAUCCCCCUUGCAGGGUACACACACCUUUGCCCAGUUAUUCAAUCAAACAAUUUAGGGGCUCUGUGAAGAGAAUUUGCAGAUGGAAUUAAAGUUCCCAAAUUAAUUGAUCUUGAGAUCUGGAAAUGAUCCGGGGUGGGUCUAACCUAGCCAGGUGAACCUUUGAAAGGGACUGGAUUGUCCUGGCAGAAGAGAUUUGACAAGUGGCAAGAACUCAUCAUUGUCAAGAUUUUCUUUGCUGGCUUUAGAGAUGAAAGGGGCCACGUGACAAGGAAUGCAGGCUGAUGCCAAACCCCUGCCUGACAGCCAGCAGAGAAACUGGACUUCAGUCCUACCACUGCAAGAGCACUGAACUCUGACAACAAGCAGGGAGUUUGGAAGGGACCCCCAAGCUGUAUGAGACCUACUCCCAGCUGACACCUUGAUUUUAUCUCUGUAGGACCCUGAAUAGAGGACCCAGUCAUGCUGCAGUCAGGCUUCUGACCUCCAGAACUAUGAGCUAAUAAGUGGGUGUCUUAAGCUGCUAUAUUUGCAAUUUGUUAUGAAGUCACAGGAAACUGAUACAGAUGGUCAUUUCAAAGAGGGGAACCACAUGACAAAUGCUCAGAGCCAUAAAGAAGCAGAGAACUAAAGUCAUUCAGAGAACUAAAGACAUUCGGCAUAGCUGGACCAUGGGGAGCAAAGGAGAUGGUAUGAAAGCUAAUCUUUGAAGACACACUUAAUCAGUGAAAUGGUGAUUGUUGAAGGAGAAUUGUUGCCUGAUGCGCUAAUUUCUAAGUUGAAAAGGAACAUCAUUUUUGCAAUGAUAAAAUAGUGAUCUGUCCUUCCACACGGUGUUAAGACACUUCCCACAACUCCUCCACCCUUCUCAUUUAGGUAAGUACUAAAAUAAACAGGAAAAGGGAACUGUACCUCUUACCCUAUGCAACUGGCCCAGUGAAUUGAUUUCAACUUUGCAUUUGUGA